This is a long non-coding RNA of Pan troglodytes (chimpanzee), 1584 nucleotides long. RefSeq lists it as uncharacterized. NCBI's taxonomy places the organism in Eukaryota, Metazoa, Chordata, Mammalia, Primates, Hominidae. The record is from RefSeq and is a predicted model, not a curated record. The transcript is spliced from 2 exons.
GGAAAAACGAGAAGGCUCGGGGACCAGAAUGGACAGACUGACCCUAGGUGGCGGGGCGACUGGACUGGGUAGCGGAUUCUCGCGGUAAAAGUCUAUAGAUAAUAACUCUUUCAACCAAUUGCCAGUCAGAGAAAACUGAAUCUGCCUGUGACCUGAAAGUGUUGCCCCCUGACCCCACAUCAGUGCUUUGAGUUGUCCCACCUUUCUGGAUGUUCUCUGUGGGAUAUGCGUGAGGGGAGAAGAAAAGACACAUACACAAUACCUUUAAGGGUAAACGACCUUUAUCCCAUGUAAAUGGCAAUGCAGAUAUAAGAAGCAAAUUGCAAUGGGAAGGGUAGAAGGGAAAGUAUAUAUAUAUAUAUAAUAUAUAUACACACACACACAUACAUACAUACACCCAUCAGACUAUGGAGGAUUUAUCACAAGACCAAGAAGCAACAGCCUGGGUUCCAGACUCGGACACUACACUCACCAGACUAUGGAGGAUUCACCACCAGAUCGGGAAGCAACAUCCUGGGCUCCAGAGUUGGGCACUACACUCACCAGACUAUGGAGGAUUCACCACCAGACCAGGAAGCAACAGCCUGGGCUCCAGAGUUGGCCACUCCUCCUUGCACAGAUGAGGAGAGGUCUCCUGAAGCUUCGGCUGGGCCUGGGACCCUAGCUCUUUUUGUAACAAGUUGUUUGGCAUGAGGCCCAGUCACAAGGGCCCUUCACAAUCGGGCUCAAGGAACACAAAAAGGUCAACUUGUUUUUGCUAUUGUCUAUUGUUUUUCAAUAACUAUAGGAAUAGAUUGAAAUAGAGAUUUCUCUGCAACAGCGCUGGAUGAAAGCCUCAAGGGACUCACAAAACCUGUUCCAGGACUUGGUGACUAUUGUUUGUGUCCAGGUUCAAUUGAAUUCAGAUUUAAUAUUUAACUUUUCCUCCAUGCUGGACCAAACCAAUAUACAUCUUACAUGUAGUAAUGUCUUAUAACUCCCUAAAAUGUAUAAAAUCAAGCUGUAACCUGACCACCUUGGACACAUGUUCUCAGGAUCCCCUGGGGCUCUGUCACGGACCAUGUGAGGUAGGAAGUGGGACUCUGUUCUGGAGGCAGAGUUUGGACACUGGAUCAAGUUGAGGACUAGCUGAAACAGGGCAGGGGUGGAAGCAACUUUCCAUAAGAUGCCCACCAGUAUGCCAUGUCAGUUUACUAUUGCCGUGGCAACACCUGAACAUUACCCUCCCCUUUCCAUGGCAGUGACCUGAUGACCUGGAAAUUACCAUCCUCAUUCUCAACAUUUCUGCGUAAACUGCCCCUUAAUUUGUAUAUAGUUAAAAGUGGGUAUAAAUAUGACUGCAGAACUGCCUCUGAGCUGCUCUUCUGGGCACUGCCUGUGAGUAGCCCUGCUCCGCAAGGAGCAAUCCCUCUGCUGCAGCUGUGCACUGCUGCUUCAAUGAAAGUUGCUAUUUAACACCAUCAGCUCACCCUUGAAUUGUUUCCUGGGCGAAGCCAAGAACCCUCCCAGGCAAAGCCCAAUUUUGGAGCUUGCCUGUCUUGCCUCAGUUGGUCACUCAUGGCUCAGAAUAAAUCUCCUCAAGUA